Molecule: ribosomal RNA, 517 nt
Filed under: uncultured bacterium
Lineage: Bacteria
Description: bacterial SSU rRNA
Rfam family: Bacterial small subunit ribosomal RNA
Source: RNAcentral
AGAACUUUCCAGAGAUGGAUUGGUGCCUUCGGGAACUCUGAGACAGGUGCUGCAUGGCUGUCGUCAGCUCGUGUUGUGAAAUGUUGGGUUAAGUCCCGCAACGAGCGCAACCCUUAUCCUUUGUUGCCAGCGAUUCGGUCGGGAACUCAAAGGAGACUGCCAGUGAUAAACUGGAGGAAGGUGGGGAUGACGUCAAGUCAUCAUGGCCCUUACGAGUAGGGCUACACACGUGCUACAAUGGCGCAUACAAAGAGAAGCGACCUCGCGAGAGCAAGCGGACCUCAUAAAGUGCGUCGUAGUCCGGAUUGGAGUCUGCAACUCGACUCCAUGAAGUCGGAAUCGCUAGUAAUCGUAGAUCAGAAUGCUACGGUGAAUACGUUCCCGGGCCUUGUACACACCGCCCGUCACACCAUGGGAGUGGGUUGCAAAAGAAGUAGGUAGCUUAACCUUCGGGAGGGCGCUUACCACUUUGUGAUUCAUGACUGGGGUGAAGUCGUAACAAGGUAGGCGUAGUGCU